RNAcentral lists this ribosomal RNA (628 nucleotides) under Solicoccozyma aeria. Its description in RNAcentral is "eukaryotic LSU rRNA". It matches the Rfam family "Eukaryotic large subunit ribosomal RNA", at positions 46 to 660 of the family's 3401-position model. The record is from RNAcentral. Lineage: Eukaryota; Fungi; Basidiomycota; Tremellomycetes; Filobasidiales; Piskurozymaceae.
AUAAGCGGAGGAAAAGAAACUAACAAGGAUUCCCCUAGUAACGGCGAGUGAAGCGGGAAAAGCUCAAAUUUGAAAUCUGGCAGCCUCAGGUUGUCCGAGUUGUAAUCUAUAGAAACGUUUUCCGCGCCGGCCCAUGUACAAGUCCCUUGGAAUAGGGCGUCAUAGAGGGUGAGAAUCCCGUCCUUGACACGGACCACCGGUGCUUUGUGAUACGUUUUCAACGAGUCGAGUUGUUUGGGAAUGCAGCUCAAAAUGGGUGGUAAAUUCCAUCUAAAGCUAAAUAUUGGCGAGAGACCGAUAGCGAACAAGUACCGUGAGGGAAAGAUGAAAAGCACUUUGGAAAGAGAGUUAAACAGUAUGUGAAAUUGUUGAAAGGGAAACGAUUGAAGUCAGUCGUGUCUAUUGGACUCAGCCGGUUCUGCCGGUGUACUUCCUUUAGAUGGGGUCAACAUCAGUUUUGAUCGCUGGAAAAGGGCGGGAGGAAUGUAGCACUCUCGGGUGAACUUAUAGCCUUCCGUCGUAUACAGUGGUUGGGACUGAGGAACGCAGCAUGCCUUUAUGGCCGGGGUUCGCCCACGUACAUGCUUAGGACGUUGACAUAAUGGCUUUAAACGACCCGUCUUGAAAC